This is a non-coding RNA of Pelobates cultripes (western spadefoot toad), 267 nucleotides long. The record is from the annotation of a GenBank genome assembly. NCBI's taxonomy places the organism in Eukaryota, Metazoa, Chordata, Amphibia, Anura, Pelobatidae.
GCCACUACCAUAGCCGCGAGUAGGGGGAGGCGGGGCUCUGACAGUGAUUGACAUCGGCAGGGCGGGGCCACUACCAUAGCCGCGAGUAGGGGGAGGCGGGGCUCUGACAGUGAUUGACAGCAGGAGGGCGGGGAAGUUAAAUAGUAACGGUUAGUGACGUCAAUGUGUGGAGAGAUAGCUAUGAGUGACGUAGAGGAAGAUGAGGUAAUUAGGGACAUUACUUCAUAACAUUAUCUGAAAAUCACAUCGUCCUCAAUAGGUAUAACC